This 379-nucleotide ribosomal RNA is filed under the name uncultured cyanobacterium. RNAcentral's name for it is "bacterial SSU rRNA". It matches the Rfam family "Bacterial small subunit ribosomal RNA", at positions 376 to 770 of the family's 1533-position model. The record is from RNAcentral. Lineage: Bacteria; Bacillati; Cyanobacteriota.
CGCAAGCCUGACGGAGCAACGCCGCGUGAGGGAUGAAGGCCUCUGGGCUGUAAACCUCUUUUAUCAAGGAAGAAGAUCUGACGGUACUUGAUGAAUAAGCCACGGCUAAUUCCGUGCCAGCAGCCGCGGUAAUACGGGAGUGGCAAGCGUUAUCCGGAAUUAUUGGGCGUAAAGCGUCCGCAGGCGGUCUUGAAAGUCUGUUGUUAAAGCGUGGAGCUCAACUCCAUUUCAGCAAUGGAAACUAGAAGACUAGAGUGUGGUAGGGGCAGAGGGAAUUCCCGGUGUAGCGGUGAAAUGCGUAGAUAUUGGGAAGAACACACGUGGCGAAGGCGCUCUGCUGGGCCAUAAAUGACGUUCAUGGACGAAAGCCAGGGGAGCG